This 338-nucleotide unclassified non-coding RNA is filed under the name soil metagenome. Its description in RNAcentral is "partial contains 5.8S ribosomal RNA, internal transcribed spacer 2, and large subunit ribosomal RNA". The stretch from base 1 to 120 matches the Rfam family "5.8S ribosomal RNA", at positions 35 to 154 of the family's 154-position model. The record is from RNAcentral.
GAUGAAGAACGCAUCGAAAUGCGAUAAGUAAUGUGAAUUGCAGAAUUCAGUGAAUCAUCGAAUCUUUGAACGCACAUUGCGCCCGGCAGUACUCUGCCGGGCAUGCCUGUUCGAGCGUCAUUUCAACCCUCAAGCCCUGCUUGGUGUUGGGGCCCUACGGCUGCCGUAGGCCCCGAAAGGAAGUGGCGGGCUCGCUACAACUCCGAGCGUAGUAACUCAUUAUCUCGCUUAGGGCGUUGGGCGGCGCUCCAGCCGUUAAAGAACCAUCUUUAACUCAAGGUUGACCUCGGAUCAGGUAGGAAUACCCGCUGAACUUAAGCAUAUCAAUAAGCGGAGGA